UUCCGGUUGAUCCUGCCGGAUCCUACUGCUAUCGGGAUGAGACUAAAACAUGCUAGUUGUGCGCACCUUAGCUAUGUUAGGAGCGCAGCGAACGGCUCCGUAACACGUUGUCAAUCUAACCUUAGGAUAGGAAUAACCCCGGGAAACUGGGGCUAAUACCUGAUAGGCGAAAAAUUCUGGAAUGAUUUUUCACUCAAAGAGUUAUAGGAACAUGCUUCUUUAACUGCCUAAGGAUGAGACUGCGUCCGAUCAGGUUGUUGGUGGGGUGAUGGCCUACCAAGCCUAUAACCGGUACGGGCCCUGAGAGGGGGAGCCCGGAGAUGGGAACUGAGACAAGGUCCCAGACCCUAAGGGGUGCAGCAGUUGCGAAACCUCUACAAUACACGAAAGUGUGAUAGGGUUAUCCCGAGUGCCGUCCGAUGAGGAUGGCUUUUACCUGGUGUAAGGAGCCAGGAGAAUAAAGGGGGGGCAAGACUGGUGUCAGCCGCCGCGGUAAUACCAGCCCCCUGAGUGGUAGGGAUGAUUAUUUGGCCUAAAGCGUCCGUAGCCGGCUCAGCAAGUCUUUCGUUAAAUCCGGUGACUUAAUCAUCGGGCCGCGAGAGAUACUACUAGGCUUGAGGGCGGGAGAGGUCGACGGUAGUCCAGGGGUAGGGGUGAAAUCCUAUAAUCCUUGGAGGACCACCAGUGGCGAAGGCGGUCGACUAGAACGUGCCUGACGGUGAGGGACGAAAGCUGGGGGAGCGAACCGGAUUAGAUACCCGGGUAGUCCCAGCUGUAAACGAUGCGGGCUAGUGUUGGGGCAGCCACGAGCUGCUCCAGUGCCGCAGAGAAGUUGUUAAGCCCGCCGCCUGGGGAGUACGGCCGCAGGCUGAUACUUACACGGACUUGACGGGGGAGCACCACACGGGUGAAGCUGCAAUUAAUUGAAGUCAACGCG
Molecule: ribosomal RNA, 937 nt
Filed under: uncultured archaeon
Lineage: Archaea
Description: bacterial SSU rRNA
Rfam family: Archaeal small subunit ribosomal RNA
Source: RNAcentral